GGGGACGUUACGGAUUCGACAGGGAUAGGUCGAGCUUUGGUUGCGAGCCGAGACGGCACACUCGAUAAACGGGCCAUCGCCUAUAACUGGCAAACAAGAAAACAACUUCGCUCUAGCUGCGUAAGCAGUUUUAAGCGGUCCCUCCCUCCAUCGCCCAUGUGGUAGGAUCAGGGACUCACUCUAAGUGGGCUACGCCUAAGUUCGCCGUCUGAGGGCGAGGGAAGAGAAUAAUCAGACUAGCUACUGGAAAGCCUGUCGAUAGGCCGCACUCGUAGCGAAAUACCAAUAUGUCGACUACGCUUGUAGACGCUGAAGUAUCGUUAUCUCUGGACGUGGGUUCGACUCCCACCGUCUCCACCA
This 360-nucleotide transfer-messenger RNA is filed under the name Aureibacillus halotolerans. RNAcentral describes it as "Standard tmRNA". It matches the Rfam family "transfer-messenger RNA". From Rfam's summary of the family: Bacterial tmRNA, also known as 10Sa RNA or SsrA, is named for its dual tRNA and mRNA-like properties. Lineage: Bacteria; Bacillati; Bacillota; Bacilli; Caryophanales; Bacillaceae. The record is from Rfam by way of RNAcentral.